Urocitellus parryii (Arctic ground squirrel) is the source of this 733-nucleotide long non-coding RNA. RefSeq lists it as uncharacterized. The record is from RefSeq and is a predicted model, not a curated record. Lineage: Eukaryota; Metazoa; Chordata; Mammalia; Rodentia; Sciuridae.
CGCAGCCCCAGCGGCCGGCCGUGGAGAUAGACAAAGGCCCCGACACAGGGGGCGCAGGGCGUGUCCCCGGGCUCAGGGAGCCCCGGGGCCCAAGCUGGCGGGGACUCACCUGGGACCCGGAGCGACGCGGCAGGCGGGGUGAUGCUGAGCCGCUGCGGCGGGGCUCACGGCACAAAUUGGAACGUCCAAACAGCUGAUCGUGACAUCACAAAGGGGCCCGCCCGCCGCGCGUCACUGGCCGCCGAAGAGCUCUCUCCCCGGUUCAGGGGGGAGCACCAGCAAGUGAGGGGAAGUUGGUGAAGCUGACGUGAACUUCUGCAAAGAGUCGGACUUGGAGAGGAAUUGCUCUGGGCUGAAUAAACAUUGAGCUAGUACCGCUCUGUCCUGGAAAGUUUACACGCCCUGUUGAAUCCAUGGUUGCUACCGGAAUUGGACACAAGAGUGACAGGGACAGGGAUUAUAAAUCCCGAUUUAGGUAUGGAGAAAUUGAGGCUCACAAAUACCAUUAUUAGUGUAUGAAUUCAUGUCCACUAAUGCACUAAACACACACGUAAAAAAAAAAAUAGGCACUAUUGCCACUGCCAGACAAAUAGUUGAUAUUUAUAGAGCACUUAAUUGUGUGCCAGUCACUGUGUUAUCGUUUUUUGAUCUUCACAACACCAAAUGUAUUAUUUUAGUUAAGGAGACAGACCCAGGGCUGGGGAUAUGGCUCAAGCGGUAGCGCGCUYGCCUG